AAGAAUGUCAGUUAGGGUACCCCGAGCGCCCGAGCCUCCCUCUCUCCCACCCCAAUAGCCGCCGCCGCCGCCUCCGAUUCGGCUGUACAUUCGCCGCCGCUGCAAAUCAAGCGCCGCCCGCGGCAGCAGACGCGUUUCGUGCGGACCAUGAAGACGCAGAGGACCGCCGGCGACGACGACGCCAUCCGCACCGAGGCACCACAGUGGGCUGAGCUACCCGAUGACCUCCUCGCCAUAGUCCGCGGCAUGGCGACCUCGCCGUUCGACCGCGUUCGCAUCGCCGCCGUGUGCCGAUCCUGGCGCGCCGCCGCGGCCCUCUCCCCCGCUGUUGCUCUCCCUACCUGGCUUCCCACAGUGUUUCAGUUGCUACUCCACGGAGAAUCGCCUCUACUGCCCCGAGGACGGCCGGGACUACACCGGCGUGGACUACACCGGCGUCCUGCUGGACGUCCCCUUGCUCCAGAGCAAGGCUCUCAGCCGGGAGAUCGUCGGCUCCCACGACGGCGGCUGGCUCGCCGCUUUCUUCACCACUCGCCCACACGCCACCGCCGGGUACCAGCAAGGCAUGCUCGUAAUCUUCAACCUCUUCACGCGUGCCGAGGUGGCGCUAUCUCCGAAGCAAAGGGACAUCGGCAAAUUUCGCGUCGAUGAGGACAAGCCGUUUUUUGUCUCCAACUCCAAGAUUGUCUUCUCCGAGGACCCCACCUCGAGCGCUUGCAUCCUCGCCGCCAUGAUUGACAGAUGCAAGUCGCUGUCUGUAGAAUUGGCUGCCCGGAUGGCGGGUGGACAGUAUACAAAACCUGCAGCUGGGAGAUAGGUUUGUGGGAUCAGCUCCAGGACAUUGUCUUCUUCAACGGCGAGCUCUAUGGGCUGACCCGAGAAAGACUAGUCAAGCUUAACAUUGGUGGCAAGAACCAAGAUGGAGCUCAUCCCGUAGUCACCACCAUUCACCAACUGGGUCCUCAGAUAUCCAAACAGAUCGUCCAUGGAGACGACGAUAACACCAGCAAUUUCUUCCUUGUCGAGCUACGGGGGAAGUUAGCCAUUGUGGUGUCGGAUAAUAGCUGGCACCCGCGGUCGAGCAGGUUGUUCGAGGUUGCCGAAGCUGAAGACGGCUACAAGUGUGCAGAGCUGACGAGCUUGGGCAACUACACUUUGUUCUUGGGUUCGAGGUGCUCCAAGGCAGUGGAGAAUAGCAACGGUGACUUUGACCACCGCCAUGAAAUGUUUCAUGGUAUCUGUGGUGUAUAUCGUCAUUGGGAAGAUGAAGAUGAAAUUACCCGUAAUUGUGUGGAUUUGGGCGGGGCUUGCUAUCCUCAUUGUGGCGGUACAUGGCUUCUCCCUCCAGAGUUAUAGCAAACUACUGUUAAUUUGGGCGCAUGCGCAUGAACAUCCAUAUAUUUCCUACAUGCAUGCAUUAUUUGCUUGGUCAUACUGUCAUGAUACAUGCUCUUUAACCAAGUUAAAUGUUCGAUUGAGAGCCCUAGUUGCUUAUGAUUUUUUUUUUCAAUAUAUGGUAUUCCCUCUUCCUAAAUGUAAGAAGUCGUGGCUUUGUUAAAGUCAAAUUUCUUAAACUUUGACCAAGUUUAUAGAAAAAUUUGCCAACAUUUAGAAUACCAGAUAAGUAUAUUAUGAAAAUAUAUACCAUGAUCGAUUUAAUAAAACUAAUUUAGAGUCAUAGAUGUGUGUAGAUUUUUCUAUAAAACUUGGUCAAAGUUUAAGAAUUUUGACUUAGGACAGGGCUAGGACUUCUUACAUUUAGGGACGAAGGGAGUACGUAGAUUUUUGAAAUAUGCUGUCUGUUUCAUGUUGCUGGAGUUUUUUCGUACUACGUACACACUACCAAGCAUGUUUGCCUGCAGUGUAGUGGAAGAUGCCAGGAGGGUAUUUAUUUGCCUCCUCUUCACCUCACGUAACUUUAACGGAUUUGUUGUUCCAAAGAGCAAAAAUAGUGUGUCGUGUGCGCACCAGAAGAGAGACAUGAACAAUUCCAAUGGAACAGGAAAUGUGCAUUUUUUUCAUGAAGGGAGCUGCACAUAACCGUAGGUUGUAGUGCUAGGUAGAGUAGUUUAUCUUGUUUGCUUGCUUAACUGGUUCUGCUCCUGCAAUGCAUGCAUGACUAGGCAUGCAGAUUCAUACAGCUGCUUUUUUACUGCCUUCCCAUGACAUAUAAGAACCGAGCACUAGCAACCAAUUAAAGCAGCUAUUUAUGUAUGUCCAAUGUAAUACUACAAAAUAGUUAUGAUUUGAAAAUGUCUCUUCAGUGUAUUGUGGAAUUGUUUAGCUACUUGUACGAAGCAUUUCUGUAUUUAAGACAAUACUUUUAUUGGACAGAGAGGAGAGAGGAAAUCAUAUUACCUGCUCUAAUUUGAUUACUCCCUACACAAAAACUGAGGUACAGGACUACAUGGCAUAUAAGAACCGAGCACUAGCAACAAGUGUUAGAAAACAUCUUUUCUGAACUGGGAGGCAAUUAAUUAAUUGCCUGGUUCUUCUAUCUAACCAGAAGAGAAUUGUUGAGUCAGUUAGAAAAAAACUGGGCGAAAAGCAUAUGAUCCAUCCCCUGCUUUUGUUGCCUGGCAUAUUUUGUCAAAGGGUGUUUCCCAUUCUAUCACUAUACAAAAUGCAUCCAGAGUGAAUACUACUAAUACCAUGAAUGUUCUACAUUUAUUAGCUCUGUUUAGGAGACACUCUUAUAUUCGAUUUUCAAUUAAUUGUAAGAUACAUAUCUGAAUCUUAUAGAGUAUCAUCAAACAGUAAGGAUCUGAAUGUCAUCAAGUGAAUUCCAUUAGUCGGUAUGAACCCGUUUGAACUCCUUUGUCAUCUUUGUCGUCUUCAAUCUCAUACAUUGAUUCAUUGGUUACAGAAAGAAAAUUAAAAUGUAUACGUCCUUCAUUCUUCUUGAAGUACACGACAGUCUAAAAUACACAUGAGCUCACAAUCUACUGCAGAGCACUAUUCUGGUUGGUUAAAAAUAGGAGCUAUAUUCUUAAUUCAACAAUAAUUGAUUGUACUAAGUUCCUCACAAUUGUAUAUAUAUAUGCAUCCUCACAAUUUCUUGCCAGACAAGAACACCCAGGAGUUUAUGUAGGUGCCUAGCUAUCAUUGUGAAAUUAACCAGGAAACAACACGUUAGUAUAUAUGUCCGUUAGUUUGUACUUGGGAGCAUGCCAAAAACAUGACUUGGUACAUGCCGUCACAACCUCUUUGACUAAGGCCCUGUUUGUUUGGGCUUUAGCUUCAGCUUUUGGUGUUUCUAGCAAUCUCAAAAGCACUUCUUUCGUUUACACAUGAAGCUGAGAAGCACCUCCGGACGUGCUUUUCAGCUAGAAGCACCAAAACCACGUCUGGAGGUGCUUCUCAGCUUCAUUUGUAAACGGGAGAAGUGUUUUUGAAAUUACUAGAAGCACUAAAAGCUGAAGCAGAAGUCUAAACAAACGGGGCUAAAACAGACUGAGUGAUAAGGAUGUUCUACAGUACGUGGGACUUACCGCGAGGUGCCGGUACCUCCCUGCCAUUCACAAUCUUUCUCGGAAAGGAUAGGAUGACAGCACGUCUCCUAUGCAAAUUACUCCAUGGCGGCUUCGACCACCAGCAUGAAAUGUUUCACGGUAUCUGUGGUAUAUGUCAUCAUUGGGAAGAUGAAGAUGAAAUUACACGUAAUUGUGUCGAGUUGGUUGGAGCAGUACGUGAUUCCUUUUGCGAGGCUUGCUAUCCUCGCAGUGACAGGGCAUGGAUUCUCCCUCCAGAGUUCUAGCAAACUAGUGUUAAUUUGGGCGCAUGUGCAUGAACAUCCUAACUUAACUAUGUACAUGGUUGGAUUGCUUUUAUCUGCUCCUUGAUCUUCAUAAUUGGUAUUGCUUAUGGUGUUACCAAGAUUACAGAUCAGAUAAGCUGUGUCACAGGUUGGAACAUAUUUGUGCGUAAGUUUGAUUUUCUUCUGCUCAAAGAAAUGUAACUGCAUGCAUGCUGAUGUGAAAUCCAGUUUUCUUUGUAGUAGUAAACACAUAUGUUAUAGCAUUCACAGCACUGGCUGCUGGAUCUGGUCGCUAGCAAGAUAGCAGCCGAGCCUCAAGUCACUGCAGAUUCUACAAUUGCCAACAUCACUUACAGCAAUUUGGUGAACAUUUAUGUUGGUAUUGGUGUUCCGUGGUUGAUCGACACAGUUUACAACUGCUUUCUCUACCAAGAUAAUGCUGCUGGCCUCAGCUUCUCCCUUCUGGUUUUCUUCGCAACAUCGUUUGGUUGUAUCACGGUGUUGGUUCUUCGCCGCAUUGUACUUGGUGCAGAGCUUGGGGGCCCUAUGUUGUGGGCGUGGGCGACAUCAGCCUACUUCAUGGUCUUCUGGAGUAAUCAUUUACCCUAUGAAAGGGCGAAGAAUUGAGGGCUUGUUUCGGCCUCUACAUGUUCUUA
This is a long non-coding RNA of Brachypodium distachyon (stiff brome), 4413 nucleotides long. RefSeq lists it as uncharacterized. The record is from RefSeq and is a predicted model, not a curated record. The transcript is spliced from 2 exons. NCBI's taxonomy places the organism in Eukaryota, Viridiplantae, Streptophyta, Magnoliopsida, Poales, Poaceae.